RNAcentral lists this ribosomal RNA (254 nucleotides) under uncultured bacterium. Its description in RNAcentral is "partial 16S ribosomal RNA". It matches the Rfam family "Bacterial small subunit ribosomal RNA", at positions 524 to 776 of the family's 1533-position model. The record is from RNAcentral.
UACGUAGGGUGCGAGCGUUGUCCGGAAUUAUUGGGCGUAAAGAGCUCGUAGGCGGUGUGUCACGUCGGCCGUGGAAACCUGCAGCUUAACUGUGGGCGUGCGGUCGAUACGGGCAUCACUGGAGUUCGGUAGGGGAGACUGGAAUUCCUGGUGUAGCGGUGAAAUGCGCAGAUAUCAGGAGGAACACCGAUGGCGAAGGCAGGUCUCUGGGCCAUAACCGACGCUGAGAAGCGAAAGCAUGGGGAGCGAACAGG